Molecule: ribosomal RNA, 501 nt
Filed under: uncultured bacterium
Lineage: Bacteria
Description: bacterial SSU rRNA
Rfam family: Bacterial small subunit ribosomal RNA
Source: RNAcentral
CAGGAUGAACGCUAGCGACAGGCUUAACACAUGCAAGUCGAGGGGCAGCAUAAAAGUAGCAAUACUUGGUGGCGACCGGCGCACGGGUGAGUAACGCGUAUGCAACCUACCUAUCAGGAGGGGAAUAACCCGGCGAAAGUCGGACUAAUACCGCAUAAAACAGGGGCACCGCAUGGUGAUAUUUGUUAAAGAAAUUCGCUGAUAGAUGGGCAUGCGUUCCAUUAGGUAGUUGGUGAGGUAACGGCUCACCAAGCCGACGAUGGAUAGGGGAACUGAGAGGUUGGUCCCCCACACUGGUACUGAGGCACGGACCAGACUCCUACGGGAGGCAGCAGUGAGGAAUAUUGGUCAAUGGGCGGGAGCCUGAACCAGCCAAGUCGCGUGAAGGAAGAAGGAUCUAUGGUUCGUAAACUUCUUUUGCAGGGGAAUAAAGUGCAGGACGUGUCCUGUUUUGUAUGUACCCUGAGAAUAAGGAUCGGCUAACUCCGUGCCAGCCGCGGC